AGGUAGCGCUCCAUAGAAAUGGUUUCCGGAAAGAUCAAUGCUGGUUAGAAGGAAAAGAGUUUUGGUGUACUGCAGUUCAAGGCCAUUCAUGACCACACGAAUGUUUUCUUGGUAAUAGUGAUUCUCAUCAAUAGUUCCAUAACGCAAAUAAUCUCCAACCGUUUGCUCUUGACCCAUGGCCUUAAGAUCGCCGAAGGAAGCAGGAAUGGAACCAUUGAACUUGUUUUCUGCCAGGUCCAAAAUUUGCAAGGAACUCAAAUUUGAAAGCGCCAAGGGAAGUUUUCCA
RNAcentral lists this unclassified non-coding RNA (286 nucleotides) under Hevea brasiliensis (rubber tree). The record is from RNAcentral. Lineage: Eukaryota; Viridiplantae; Streptophyta; Magnoliopsida; Malpighiales; Euphorbiaceae.